RNAcentral lists this ribosomal RNA (816 nucleotides) under uncultured bacterium. RNAcentral describes it as "bacterial SSU rRNA". It matches the Rfam family "Bacterial small subunit ribosomal RNA", at positions 38 to 866 of the family's 1533-position model. The record is from RNAcentral.
AAUGGCGGGUGCUUAUAAUGCAAGUCGAGCGAGGUUGCAGAUUGGGUAACUAAUUUGUAGCUUAGCGGCGGACGGGUGAGUAACGCGUGGGCAAUCUGCCCUUCAGCCUGGGAUAACAGUUCGAAAGGGCUGCUAACACCGGAUAUGGUGGUAUCGAGGCAUCUCGGAGCCAUGAAAGUUUACACUGAAGGAUGAGCCCGCGUCCCAUUAGCUAGUUGGUGGGGUAAUGGCCCACCAAGGCGACGAUGGGUAGCCGACCUGAGAGGGUGACCGGCCACACUGAGACUGAGACACGGCCCAGACUCCUACGGGAGGCAGCAGUAGGGAAUUUUCCGCAAUGGGCGAAAGCCUGACGGAGCAACGCCGCGUGAGGGAUGAAGGUCUUCGGAUCGUAAACCUUUGUCUAGAGGGACGAUAAUGACGGUACCUCUGGAGGAAGCCACGGCUAACUACGUGCCAGCAGCCGCGGUAAUACGUAGGUGGUGAGCGUUGUCCGGAAUUACUGGGCGUAAAGGGCGUGUAGGCGGCCUUUUAAGUCAGACGUGAAAACCCUGGGCUUAACCCAGGACCUGCGUUUGAUACUGGAGGGCUUGAGGACCGGAGAGGACAGUGGAAUUCCCAGUGUAGCGGUGAAAUGCGUAGAUAUUGGGAGGAACACCAGUGGCGAAGGCGACUGUCUGGACGGCACCUGACGCUGAGGCGCGAAAGCCAGGGGAGCAAACGGGAUUAGAUACCCCGGUAGUCCUGGCUGUAAACGAUGGGUACUAGGUGUGGGAGGUAUCGACCCCUUCCGUGCCGCAGCUAACACAAUAAGUA